RNAcentral lists this long non-coding RNA (1832 nucleotides) under Cinara cedri. The record is from RNAcentral. Lineage: Eukaryota; Metazoa; Arthropoda; Insecta; Hemiptera; Aphididae.
AGACGAAAUGUAUUUUGGAAAUUUCGAUUCAUAAAUGUCCAAUAUGAAAUAAUUAAUGUGGUACGAUAGUUUACGAAAAUAAAUCGAACAAAUAUCACGAAAAUACACUUUUGACAUCGUUACGAAUGUAUUAAUUUAGUGUGUUGGUGGUUUUUAAAAUGCCAUUGAGAAGGAAGAAAUGUUCACGGUGAAAUGAGAGUAACUUCCGAACAGGAACACUGUUAUAUUACAUUUGAGAAAAAUAAAUAUUGCUCGUAACUUUUCAAUAACACAAUUAGUGUAUACCUAUUAUCGAUUCAGUGUUCGUUAUGGCGUUGCGUAGUUAAUGUAAAAUGUUCCGUAUUAAAUUACGUGUUAAUAAGUAACAGUCAAGGGAUUGUGUACCGACGUUUUCUUUUUUUGUCCCUACACAUGUACAGCGUCAACAAUUUAGACCAGUUUUCCAGCUGUGAAAAUUCGGAAAAGAGAUUCGAAUUCAGCACGGAGUGUACAGGUCCGGCCUAUUUUAUUCCGAACUUAUUUGUUGUUUGUUUUUUUUAUACAUUUUGAAUUAUUAAAAUCUUCAAAUCGGAAGUAUUCAAAACGAUCGAUUGAUAUUCGGAAAAAAACGAAAUAAUCGACCGACUCCGCGUUCAACUCGAAUCUGUUUUAAAGAAUUCGUAUCGGUUCGCAAAACCGAUCGAACCGAUCGCCGGAAAAUCGACCCGAAUGCCGAGUGUGUGUCAGACAAAGAAUGAACAUAAUCCCUUACUGCGGGCAACAAGUCAGAUUUUAAACAUUGAGUAUGAAUAUAUUAUGCGGCCACUUAUAUACUUACCGUUAUAAUACGAUAAACGAACAAAUUAAAUCCAUUGUGUUAACGUUUUGUCGGCAAUAUGCAUCGGAUAGCGAAAUGUUUCGUUUUCUCGGCCUCUCGGGAUAUAAUAAAAUAGGUUCAACGGUUACAAAAAAAAAAAAAAAAAAAAAGCCAUUUUGUUAUCUAAAAUUCACGGAUAUACGGUUAAAAGAGAAUAAACGCUUCGCACCAUAAACGACCCCGGGAUUGAUCGAUCGUUUUUGUUUUUUUUUUUUGUUACAUGCCCGUGCUUAGCUAAUUGGGACGUAUUUCGUUUGUAACAAACACGAGGAAUAAAUUAGGAUUGAAAAAAAAAAAAAUUUAAAAUAACUAAAUGUUAUUUUUAUUAUUAUUAUUAGUAGUAGUAGUACGGUAGUUACUUAUAUAGGCGACGCGCGACGCACAUGAUCGCCGCGCGUUUCUUUCCGAGACCUAUAAAAAUCGUGUAAGAUUUUACUGUUUCUUUUUCCGCGUUCCCCUUUCCUUUAUUAUUAUUAUUAUUAUUAUUAUUAUCAUUAUAUUAAUGCACCGAGCGUGUUCCGGAAAGGCAUUUUUAUUUCAUGCUUGUGAACGCACAAAGGAUUUUUAUAUUAUCCGUACUUAUGUAUAAAUAUAUAACCGAAGGCGCUCCCGUAAGAUAAUUUUCAAGGGGAAGGACAAACUGCAACCGGGUCUCUGAACAUGCAUUAUUUAAAGAAUAAUAUAUGCGGCUAUAAGAACACAAGAUCUGUAAAAAAAAAAAAAAAAGUUAUGAUAGAUUCACUGCAAGGAGUUGAAUCGAUAAUCGUCUAGGCUGUGCGUCAAGGAUCGUGAAGAAAAGUUUUUUGUGGGUUUCAAUAUUUUCCGAAAAGAGGCGUAGGAAACACGUCCGCUCCUGCCUCCUCCUAAUAGGCGCCCGUAUACAAACAGUGUUGUAAUCCUAAAUAAUGAGAUGCAUAAAAAAAAAAAAACAAAAAAACAAUUUGUUUAUAAAGUUCUCUUCAUAAAAUAUAUUCGC